Oryza glaberrima (African rice) is the source of this 107-nucleotide non-coding RNA. The record is from Rfam. NCBI's taxonomy places the organism in Eukaryota, Viridiplantae, Streptophyta, Magnoliopsida, Poales, Poaceae.
AUUCCAUGAUAAGGACGGGCAGUGACGUAUUCCUGCAGCCUUUCCCAGGCUUCAAGAAUGGUUUCAUCCCUCGUCCGCUGCAAACUGGAUAUUCUUCCACGAAGAGC